Molecule: long non-coding RNA, 4954 nt
Filed under: Homo sapiens (human)
Lineage: Eukaryota; Metazoa; Chordata; Mammalia; Primates; Hominidae
Description: LHRI_LNC2111.6
Source: RNAcentral
UCUGCUUUUGCAUCUUUCUCAUUUUCUCUUGCCGCUGCCAUGUAAGAAGUGCCUUUCACCUCCCACCAUGAUUCUGAGGCCUCCCCAGCCUUGUGGAAAUCUACAUAACUGGAGCCUCAGCUCUUCACUGACUGUCCUCAGGUUCCAGGGGCCACCUGCAGUUCCUUGCCACAUGGAUUUCUCCAGCAUAGCUGUGUACUUCAUCAAGGCACAAGGAGAGUCUCCAGUCUACCAGAGCCCUAUGUAAUGUAACAUAAUCAACAAAGUGACGUCCCAUUCAUAUUCAAUUGGUCAGAAGCAAGUUACAGUCCCCACCCAGGUCAGAGGGAGGAGAUAUGACAAAGAAGUAAACAUCAGGAGGCUGGGACAAUGGGGAUACUUAAGGUCCAUCCUGCUACAACUUCCACAAUGGCGUCUUGACCAUGAGGGCUCCACAGACACUGAAGCGGUCACCCAGGCUGCAAGUCUUGGAGGCAUUCUCUAGGAAUCACAGUCCCAUUCUUCUGCAGGCAAACGGAGUCGCCAUAUGACCCAGCCCUGGUCUUGCUUGGCUUUCUGGAUGUUCUCAACCUUGACAUGACUCCUUAUUCUCCAAUUCAUUUGGACCUCAAGACACUACUACUCUGGCUACAGCCGGCAUUAAAAAGAUGACACAGAAAAAUUACAGAGUCAGCAUAUAUUUGAAUACUGGAUAAAAGGGAAGAGGAUGAAAUGGAUUUUUCAAAGCUUCUAAAGAAAACAGAACUAGUGAAGAAAAUGUCCCGAUAGAAGAAAUGACUGAUGACAUAAGGACAGUGCUAAAUUAAUAACCAAUCAUUCCUCUUCCUCCUCCAGCUGUGUAGCAGACUCCUCUUAUAAACCUCUGCGAAGUUCUACUUGAAAAGCUGUGGUUUCAUUUCAAAGGAAACCAGCAAUCAGGGGGAUCUCUACAGGAAAAUCUCUUCCCUAUGUCUUCUUUAGACUCUUCAAAAAGGAGAGAGAGCACAAAAAAAGAAAAUACACAAGUAAAUAGGUUCAAGUACAUCAAGAAUCACAGUUUCUAAAAAGGCUAGUGAAAGGUCAAUGACUUCAGAGUCAAGAAAUCCAUUUCUAAUGUUUCUUCAGCUGUGACUCAUUGUGAAAUGUUGAGGAGGGUCACAGAAGCCUCCAGCCCUCGGUUUCCCCAGCUGUAAAACAAAUAUUUGAAUAAGUGGCCAGUCCACAUUAUAGCUGAUGUGCUUUCAGGGACUCAAAAUGAGAAUCAUAAAUAUGUAAAAAUACAAAGAUAAGGUGUUCCCUGUAGAAAAACACUAAACUAGCAGAAAAAGAAACAUCACAUUUGUGUGCUAAUUGGGUAUUCCAGAUUAAAGUAAUUUGUUAAAAAUUAUUGGAAGAAAAAUCCAUAAUUUGGCAAUAAAAAGGAUUUCCGUAAGAAGAGACAGACAAGAUCAUAACAGAUUCAGUGACUCUAGGUUACUCAGCCAAAUUAAAAUGCUCUCCUUUCAUCCUCGAAGGGAAAUCCUUGAGAAGUUUGUGGACCGUCACCAUCUGUUCAGCAAAACAUGCAUCAACAUAAUAUUUUCCACAUGUUUUUUGUUUUCUUUUUAAUUUUGCAAACGGAGAUUAAUCUUUUCCUAGUCAGAAUGUUUUACUAUAACCAUUGUCAGAGGAAAUAAGUGGAAACUCGGUUUUGAUCCCACUUCUCUCCCUACCCACUCGCCACCAUUUGCGUUUUCUAUGGUGAUGUGUGGAUUAAAGCUGAGGAGAAACUAAUAAUUCACAUCCUUUGCAGAUCAUGACAAGUCUGUAUUUCAUAAAACUGGAGAAAUCCUGCUCUGAAGCUCAUUUUUCAUGCAGCUACAAAAUCAUCUCUUUCUUCUCAUCAGAACUCCAUAGUGACAUCCAUCAAUAGCUGGAUCAAGGCCAAGAGUGCCAUAACCACCUACGGAUUCACUCUUCGCUGUGCCAUGCCAGUCAACUAUGCCCUUCCCUACUAUCCUUCUUCCACCACCAUUCCUCUGACUGUCAGGCUCAGCAAACAGCUUGCAGUUGGUCAAUGAGUGCUUACCAAGCCCCGGCUCUGUGCCCAGCAUCAUGCAAAGCAUAAAUGGACAUGGACAACAGUCUUAAACUACUUCCUACCCACAAGCAGCUCACAAACUUGUUGGGAAGAAAGUAGAACAAGGAGAGGAAAAGACAGUAAAAGCACCCACUGUGACAUGGUAAAAAUGAUGUUGACAACAAUAAUGAUGGUGCUGGGAUCUAACUCCUCUAUUUUGCCUGUAACUUGUCUUCCGAGUUUCUACACAUUGGUUGGCCAGAGGAAAAUUAACUUUGAAUUCCAUCUAGUCAAAAGUUUAGUAUGGUCCAAUAAUUAUAGUAGUCCCUUUAAGAAAUGCUCAGCUGUACAAUACUCAUUUUCCAAAAAGCUUAAAUCUUAGAAAACAGUUCCCUUGUCCAUUUAGGUGGGUUUGUGUAAUGCUGAUCAAAGUCUGGUCCAUCUAGGACCUCUGAUAAUAUUACUGUCACUCCCAAAGCUAGGUUUAUUUCCACCUGGUUGCAAUACUCAUAAAGAAAGAAAACCACUAAGUGAUGUGUUAAUAACAGGUAUGUAUAGAAAGCACCACUGUUAUUUUAAACAAGUAAAAUGAAACCCAAAAAGUUUGGCAAUACAAGAAGUGCUAUGGGCUAAACUGUGUCCUCACAAAAAUUCAUAUAUUGAAGCCCUAAUGUCCAGUACCUCAGAAUGUGACCGUAUUCGGAGAUAGGGCUUUAAAGAGGCGAUGAAGUUAAAACAAAGUCAUUGAGGUGAGGCUCUAAUUCAACGACUGAUAUCCUUAUAAGAAGAGGAAAUCUGGACAUAGAUGGGCCCAGAGGAAAGAUCACAUUAAGACAGAAAAAGAAGAUGGCCGCCUACAAGCCUAAGAGAGAAGCCUCGGGAGAAACCAACCCUGAUGACAACUUGAUCUCAGAUGGCUGGCCUUUAAAAUUGUGAGAAACUAAGUUUUUGUUGUUUAAGGCACCCAGUCUGUGGUACUUUGUUAUGGCAACCCUAACAAGCUAAUACAAUAACCAAUCUCUAAAAAACAUCUCUCUGUGAAUGAUACAAGAAUCCAGGGUUCUGUUUUUCUCACUGACAUUUUUGCUGUUUUAAUACUAAAAUGGUGUCUGGCAUAAAAAAUGUUUGAUAAUGUUUGUUGAAUUAAUAAGUAGAUAUUAUCUUUGCUGUUAAUUCAUGAUACAAUUUUAAUACAUUUUACCAACCUAAAUAGAAAAUCAAACUGAAAAAGUAACUUCCUCAUUAAACAAACACAAAAAAAUUCUAAAUUUACAUGCUAGGUAAUUUCUAACAAUAAUUUUUUAAAAGGAUUUUAUCUUAAUUUUCAUUUAUGUUUCUAUAGCCAGAGUCUUCCCAAGAUUCAAUACUUUGUUUGGUUUCCUAUCAUCUCAAUGAUCUCUUCCAAAUCCUGCUGAAGUUGUUAGAAGUAAAAUUAUCUCCAUCUUAUAAAUGGGAAAAGUAAACUGGCAAGUCAAAGAAUUUUCUAGAGAAUAGGCCCACAGAGAAGGCUGUUAAACCAGGAUGGAGAGAUUUAAACACAUACACCUAGGGGAGGCAGAGAAGAGACGGGAACAUGAGGUGGCCUGAAAAUGAGCACAGUAUUUGAAGGUCUCCCAACAUGAGUUUGAUCACAUUUAAAGCCCACCAAUUUAGAGCUUUUUCAAACUCCAUUCAAAGGGGGUUUUCCUGACGUAUCUGCAAAACCUAAUAAGAAGGCCCUGUCCUCUGUGUAAGCAGCUUUUCAUACAUGCAUAUAUUCAUUUAUUGAUUCAUUCAGUAACUACUUAUUGAGCAUCUACUAUGUGAAAGGCAUUCCUAUCAGCCCUGGAGAUGCAAUCGUGAGUAAAACAGACAGAAAUGUCCCUGCCCUCACGGAGUUUACAUCCUGGUAGUGGGGACAGAAAAUUUAAAAAAAAUAAAUAAGUAAAAUAUGUGUCAGUAUUAAGUACCAUGGAGAAAAAAUUAAACAGCGAUGAAAAAUAUAAAACGUAAGGAUGGUUGAAAUAUUCGGUCAGCCAGGAAAGGUGUCAUGAAGUUGAGUUAGGAAACUGACUACAUGAGAAACAUUUAAACACCUUCUUACCUUGUCAGACGGUAUUCUGAGUUCCAGAUUCAAGCAGCCUGGUUUCCAUACACAGUACCACUUUUUAUUUAUUGUGAGAAAAUUGCCUAAUUUUGUGUCUCAGUUUCUUUAUCUGUAAAAUGGGGAUAAUUUUUUUAACUAGUAGAGUUGUGAAGAGUCAAUUUAAAAACAAAACACAUUUAGUGCUUAAAACAGUGCCUGAUGUAUAAGAACUCAAUAAAUAUUAGGUUUUGUAGUUGCUUUUGUGUUUUUUUUACUUUCUAUGAUCUAAUUUCAAGAUUGUUAAAAUGGGACUCAUAAUGCCAGGCUUCACUGAAUUUUUGUAGGAAUCUCACGAGACAAGACAUAAAGAGCCCUUGGAGUUUGGAUCAUAGUAAGCACUAAAUGUAUGCUUCCUGCUCCUGUUACCAUUGUAACCAGGCAACAUUUUUGUUUUCUUAACUAUUGCAACAGUAUUUGACUUGGAACAAUAGCCAUCGGGAAUAGAAGGUUAGAUCCUGAGGACAUGGACGUACAUCCACAAUAAUCUUAGCAUAAAAGAAAAGAGAGAUAGUUAAGCUUCUCUGCACUUGAAAACAAGAGGAUGGGAGUAUUGGGAGAAACAGAAAGCAGAAGAGAAAAAGGGGAAGGAGAGAGGCACCGAGGAGCUGUUGUGAAGCUGGGGAUUUUAUAGGAUGAGGGAAGGGUAUCUAUUCGCUAAGGAUGGGAUAGUGGAGAAACAUUUUACAAAUAAAGAUGAGUCAAGUUAAAUUUGAAAUUAUUUUUGUUUCAACAUGAACUGCACUUCUGUCUCCUCAUGCCACCAAAAGUUUUAAUAAAUACAUUAUACUCAC